Molecule: ribosomal RNA, 253 nt
Filed under: uncultured bacterium
Lineage: Bacteria
Description: partial 16S ribosomal RNA
Rfam family: Bacterial small subunit ribosomal RNA
Source: RNAcentral
GACGUAGGGGGCGAGCGUUGUCCGGAUUUAUUGGGCGUAAAGCGUGCGUAGGCGGCUGCGCAAGUCGGGUGUGAAACCCCGGGGCUCAACCCCGGAACUGCAUCCGAUACUGCGUGGCUAGAGGUAGGUAGGGGAGGUCGGAAUUCCUGGUGUAGCGGUGAAAUGCGCAGAUAUCAGGAGGAACACCGAUGGCGAAGGCGGAUCUCUGGGCCUUACCUGACGCUCAGGCACGAAAGCUAGGGGAGCGAACAGG